This 58-nucleotide ribosomal RNA is filed under the name Umbilicaria esculenta. RNAcentral describes it as "partial 26S ribosomal RNA". The record is from RNAcentral. Lineage: Eukaryota; Fungi; Ascomycota; Lecanoromycetes; Umbilicariales; Umbilicariaceae.
UUGACCUCGGAUCAGGUAGGGAUACCCGCUGAACUUAACAUAUCCAUAAUAAACCGAA